This 497-nucleotide ribosomal RNA is filed under the name uncultured bacterium. Its description in RNAcentral is "partial 16S ribosomal RNA". It matches the Rfam family "Bacterial small subunit ribosomal RNA", at positions 28 to 507 of the family's 1533-position model. The record is from RNAcentral.
GACGAACGCUGGCGGCGUGCCUAAUACAUGCAAGUAGAACGCUGAAGAGAGGAGCUUGCUCUUCUUGGAUGAGUUGCGAACGGGUGAGUAACGCGUAGGUAACCUGCCUUGUAGCGGGGGAUAACUAUUGGAAACGAUAGCUAAUACCGCAUGACAAUGGAUGACACAUGUCAUUUAGUUGAAAGGCGCAAUUGCUCCACUACAAGAUGGACCUGCGUUGUAUUAGCUAGUAGGUGAGGUAAUGGCGCACCUAGGCGACGAUACAUAGCCGCCCUGAGAGGGCGAUCGGCCACACUGGGAGUGAGACACGGCCCAGACUCCUACGGGAGGCAGCCGGAGUGAAUCUUCGGCAAUGGGUGCAACCCUGACCGCGAAACGCCGCGUGCGUGAAGAAGGUUGCCGGAUCGUAAAGCUCUGUUGUAAGUCAAGAACGGGUGUGAGAGUGGAAAGUUCACACUGUGACGGUAGCUUACCAGAAAGCGCCGGCUAACUACGUG